CCUGGAUUUGGUCUAAAAUUUCAUCUCCUUUUAAAACCUGCUAUUUUCCUUUUUUCUUCAUAUUUUCAUCCAAGAUUUCUUCCUAUCCUUUUUCGCCAUUCAAGGGAGUUUUCCAAUUUUCUGUUCUUAAUUUUAUGCAGAUCAUCUCGCUAACAGGUAUAUUUUUGUUCUCGCUUCCUCUGUCUUUAUCUUUUCCUUAAAAAUUUUUCUUAUGUUUGAUGGGCAUGAAUUCUGACGAGAGUCGUUACAUUUGUGGAGAACGAUUAGGAAGAGUCCAUCCCUUCCAAUGAACAUGGUUCUUCCUCAGGGUUGAAGGCACAUAAAGUCUUUUCUCCAGCUCUGUAGUCCGACUUGGUCGGACUAUAGUGUCCAUAAUAAAGCAUAGUCAUCCUGUCUUACUUGCACAUUUUGGGGAUGAUGCAGCGAUGGUAGGUCUACUUAGAGAUAAAUUUGGGAAUGAUGCAAGGGAUGAAGUGGGCGAUGAGGAUGCAAGCGAGGAUGGGGGUGGGAACACUUACAUAUUAGAUUAUUGUUGUUAUCUAGGCAAUUAGGGAAAUGGCAUACGAUCUACCGUAUACCUACUUCGAUUGAAAUGAUCAUUCGUUUCCCACAUGAUCGAGCUUUUGAGAUCUUCCAAAAUGUUGGGUAGCCUUUAGCUCUCCCUUAUUUUCAGGCAGUCAUAAGCUCUCUUUUCCACACAUUAUUUAUAGAUUUUUAUUUGCCUAGUGUAUGACUUGUACUCAGCUCCACCCAAAUGGAUGGAGGACUAUUUUUGGACGCUUACUGUUAUGACAUAAGUUGGAUUUUCUAGAGCUUACUGUUGAGCAUUUUAAUGCUCUUUACAACUUCAAAGAGGACAAGAAAAAUUCAGGUGGUAUUAUACACUAGUAUAACACCAAACACGAGGGGCUUUUGUGGUUCUAUAUUCCCCUUCUUCAAUCAAGAGAUGGAAAGAAGAGUUCUUCUUUAUCCAAGGUGACUAGCAUUUCCAUCCAUCUAAGGUGACAAGGGAUGAGGUUGUGCCAACCAGUUAUAACGAAGUAAAUAAGCUAGUAAUUAUUUUAUAUUGUCAAAAUGUUUUAAUGAGCGGGUUACAACUAACUUUUCUUUUUGCAGCUUACCUUACAACACAAGAUCACUUUAGAACUGCAGGAAAGGGUGAAUGAGAUUAGAGCCCUUUACCUUAAGCAGCAAUCCUAUUCAUCGCUGAUAAGUGACUCCAGCCUUUUCCAUGCUAGCUUAUUUGUUGCAAAAGCUUCACCUCUUUCUUAGAAGUAAGAUUUCUAAUUUAUGUCUUUUUCUCACAAUUUUUAGUUUUGUUUAAUAAUGUUGUCCUCGAUGGGUAUAGACAUAGAUAUCAAGGGUUUUACAAUAGAUGUGGAUGCCAUUAACAAGUACGUGAAGAUGUGAUGGCUUUACAAAGGACUGCUUAAGAGAAAAAAGCCCCGUAAAGGCAACAUUGAGCCUGAAGGAAACCUUCCUCUUGUUAUAUAAUUUGGCAAUUUCUUUUUGUGAUCUUUUUGGUAAUUUUUGCUUUUUUUGAUGUAGCCUGGGAAUGAUUCUUUUGAAUAAAAUGACUAGUCUUUUUGACCCAUUAUAUGAA
Molecule: long non-coding RNA, 1603 nt
Filed under: Olea europaea subsp. europaea
Lineage: Eukaryota; Viridiplantae; Streptophyta; Magnoliopsida; Lamiales; Oleaceae
Source: RNAcentral